RNAcentral lists this transfer RNA (74 nucleotides) under Lederbergia ruris. RNAcentral's name for it is "tRNA-Pro". It matches the Rfam family "tRNA". From Rfam's summary of the family: Transfer RNA (tRNA) molecules are approximately 80 nucleotides in length. The record is from RNAcentral. Lineage: Bacteria; Bacillati; Bacillota; Bacilli; Caryophanales; Bacillaceae. RNAcentral also lists the same sequence under 4 other names.
CGGGAUGUAGCUCAGCUUGGUAGAGCACUUGCAUGGGGUGCAAGGGGUCGCAGGUUCAAUUCCUGUCAUCCCGA